CCGUUUGUCAAUGCCCACUUCCU
RNAcentral lists this non-coding RNA (23 nucleotides) under Arabidopsis thaliana (thale cress). Lineage: Eukaryota; Viridiplantae; Streptophyta; Magnoliopsida; Brassicales; Brassicaceae. The record is from RNAcentral.